GCUGGGCAUGGUGGCGUGCCUGUAUUCCCAGCUACUCAGGAGGCUGAGGUGGGAGGAUUACUUGAGCCCAGGAGGUCCAGGCUGCAGUGACCCAUGUUUGCACCACUGCACUCCAGCCUGGGCAACAGAGUGAGACCCUGUCUCAA
RNAcentral lists this non-coding RNA (146 nucleotides) under Nomascus leucogenys (northern white-cheeked gibbon). The record is from Rfam by way of RNAcentral. Lineage: Eukaryota; Metazoa; Chordata; Mammalia; Primates; Hylobatidae.